This 1146-nucleotide long non-coding RNA is filed under the name Anas platyrhynchos platyrhynchos (common mallard). Its description in RNAcentral is "lncRNA (ENSAPLG00000026458.1)". The record is from RNAcentral. Lineage: Eukaryota; Metazoa; Chordata; Aves; Anseriformes; Anatidae.
CUCACUGGAGUCAAUGGCAGCAUGUGGAAGAUUUACUGCAAGUGGUUUUGGCUUUGACCUGUUAUUAUUUACAAAAAGGAAAUUUGUUUGCAUGUGGAAGACAUGACUUUGUUGUUUCCUUCAGCAUGGAUAGGAAUUAAAGACUAUUGCUUUACUUAGCCAGUGUAGACAAUUUGCACAUGAAAAGUAAGAAAAAAACCCCACACCAAUCGACAAUCAGAGCAUAUUCAACAAGCUAAGAUUUAGAGUUAGUAAAAUAACAAUGGGUAAACAAGGAAAAAAUGCUAUAAUGUAGGGAAGGAUUUACCAAUCCACAAAAUCACUUUAGUAAUGUUUUUUCUCACAUGAAAGAGACAGCAAAUAAUUAAGUUUCCAAUUUUAACUCAUUUGUCUUACUUGAGUUUAACAGUUUAUGAAAAUUGAAGGAAAAAACCUAAGCCAGGAUAAAACAGGGAAAAGAGAAUGCAACUUAGGAUCUGACACACCUUUCAAAACUACUGGUAAAAAGGACACAGCGCAAAGUGUAAAUUGUAGUACAGGAAGACAUGGACAGCAUGUGGUGACAACAGCAUUCAGAGUCAGUACAUGGUGGUUGGGAAGCAUUGGGAGACAACUCUCACAGGCUGAGGGGAAACCUUCCACUGAGUCAGCAGAUCCUGGAUAGAGGCGGAGCACACAACGGACAAAGCAAGGCUAGGAGAGCAGGGUUUGCUCAGAGAAGGCUCAGGUAGGACCUUGUUGCUGUCUACAACCACCUAACCAGAUGAUAGAGAAGACUGAGCCAGACUCCCCCUGAAAAUACUGAGGAACAGGUGGAGCAGCAGUGGACACAAGUCACAACAUGGGAAAUUCUGGUUAGAUAUGAAGUUAUUGUUGUUGUUUUUAAUUUUUAUUUUUUAUUAUGGUUAUUUUUUAAAUUAUUGUUCUUUUUAUUUACUUAUUUAUUUUUUAGCAGGAGGGUCAAAUACUGGGCCAGACUGCCCAGAAAAGUUAUUCCAUUCUGUGAUUCUGUGACUGCCAGGAACUUCAGAUAUAGUAUUUUUCAGACCUUUAUUCCCACAUCUAAUUCCCACAGUAAAUGAAUGUAACUACUUUAUGCACUUGUGUGCACUUAAUGUUUCUUAAAAAUAAACUUUAAAUAUGUAC